This 443-nucleotide ribosomal RNA is filed under the name uncultured bacterium. RNAcentral describes it as "partial 16S ribosomal RNA". It matches the Rfam family "Bacterial small subunit ribosomal RNA", at positions 338 to 795 of the family's 1533-position model. The record is from RNAcentral.
CCUACGGGAGGCAGCAGUGGGGAAUAUUGGGCAAUGGGCGCAAGCCUGACCCAGCAACGCCGCGUGAAGGAAGAAGGCUUUCGGGUUGUAAACUUCUUUUGUCAGGGACGAAGCACGUGACGGUACCUGACGCAUAAGCCACGGCUAACUACGGGCCAGCAGCCGCGGUACUACGUAGGUGGCAAGCGUUAUCCGGAUUUACUGGGUGUAAAGGGCGUGGAGGCGGGACUGCAAGUCAGAUGUGAAAUCCACGGGCUCAACCUGUGGCCUGCAUGUGAAACUGUAGUUCUUGAGUACGGGAGAGGCAGGCGGAAUUACUGGUGGAGCGGUGAAAUGCGUAGAGAUUAGGAGGAACACCAGUGGCGAAGGCGGUCUGCUGGACAGCAACUGACGCUGAGGCGCGAAAGCGUGGGGAGCAAACAGGAUUAGAUACCCCGGUAGUC